Molecule: long non-coding RNA, 1612 nt
Organism: Gymnodraco acuticeps
Lineage: Eukaryota; Metazoa; Chordata; Actinopteri; Perciformes; Bathydraconidae
Exons: 2
Source: RefSeq, a predicted model, not a curated record
UCCCCCCUGUGCCCAGUGGAAAUUACGCCAUGCGUGUGUGUGUGCGUCAAGUGCAAUUAUGCAAGUUGCAAGUUGCAGCACACACACAGUAAAACUCUGCCCCUCAUGUGCUGUAUAGGCUGGCAUGAAUAGGCUGUGUUCAAUGGGGCUGAUGUGUUGUGUAGAUUCUGCCAGAAGGAAAGGUCACACUCCUUAUGAAGCGGUGAGCUGCCGCUCCACAUUGCUUUUCUUCCCGACUGCAACGCUGGUCCCGCAAAUCAAGCAAGAACGUGAUUGGUCAACAUUCAUUGUGGGGGGACGAGGGGUGUUAGAUAGAUAUAGAGUUGUAGUAAGUAGAUAGGGUUCGCUAUGAUUUAAUUACAUUUCCUUUUUUUGUGUGUAUUUUUUACAUUUUGGAUUUACUUGGUGAGCUACUUCUUGAGGGCUUGCGAGCUACCGGUAGCUCGCGAUCGACGUGUUGGAGACCCCUGGUUUAGAAGUAUCAGUGGGCAACUCAAAUACAAAAAUAAUGCAAUGUGGUUUAAUAGAAUUCUUCACAGAGUUUAGCUGCAGAUUACAAUAUUUAUUUAUUUAUUUAUGUUAGGAUUGGAUUAAAUAUUAAACAGACCUUUCAAGGUAAUAAAAAGAGUCAAUAACGAACCUUGUCUUCUCUUUUAUAACUGAUAAUAGUAAUACAUACGUGUGUGUAGGAGGGUUUAGGGCUGCAGGUGUCACGGUCCAAACUGUGUCCCUGUUUGUUCCCCUGUGUGUGUGGAGAGGGUGUGGUUUCCCUUGCAGCCUGAUUGCUCUCACCUGGCCGUCCGACUCAGCUGUCCCUCAUCAUCUAAUCAGGACACAGCUUCUACUCCAGUCUCCCAGCAACUCACCGCCAGAUUGUUUUCUACACCAGUGUGCAAUCCCUCGGCCAUCAUCCACCAGAGCUUCCAGCCAACCUGCCUGCUUCUUCCUGCAUCAUACCUGCCUGCCUUGUAAUCAGUCCAGCCUCUCACUGCCUACCUCCACUCCGGACCUCCAUAAUCACCAAACCUGCCUGAGUCUCCGAAACAAUAAACCAUUUAAACAUCUUCAGUCAUUGCCUGCGCCUGGGUCCUGUUUAAAACAUAAUCCUAACAGAAGGUGACUUUAAGGACACGGUAUUCAUGCCCUCUGUAUAUUAUUUAUAAGGGGGAGUUUAUGUUCAGUAUUUUAAAUAACAUGUUUUUUUAAUGCUGAUUCAAAUAUGUUUAGACUUUUUUAAAUGUAUGGUUAGGCCGACUGAAGGCAGGUCUAUUAAUACUCCACCAGAAUCUCAUCAUGGUAGAUUGCAGCAUUUAGGAAGAAUAAAGAUAUAUAUUAAACAUGGAUAUAUUUAAGAUUAAAAUGUUAAAUGUAUGAGUUUGUUGAGGUUGAUCCAACCAAGUAAAGGAAUGUGAUUCGAUGACCAAAAAGACCACUAUUUUUCAAGUUCUUUUCAUUUUAAUAUGUGACUUUAAUCGUGAAAAUCCAUGUUGUUUUUUUUGUGGAGGGUCUUACAUUUACUGCAUCAAUCUCAGCAAAUGUCUUGGAAAUUUACAAAUGUAAUCUUGGAAAUGAGAGCGUUUUUCCGCCAUAAUUAAACUUGCAGAAAAUCUAA